RNAcentral lists this ribosomal RNA (645 nucleotides) under Bacillus sp. FJAT-17266. RNAcentral's name for it is "bacterial SSU rRNA". It matches the Rfam family "Bacterial small subunit ribosomal RNA", at positions 77 to 705 of the family's 1533-position model. Lineage: Bacteria; Bacillati; Bacillota; Bacilli; Caryophanales; Bacillaceae. The record is from RNAcentral.
AGCUUGCUCUUAUGAAGUUAGCGGCGGACGGGUGAGUAACACGUGGGUAACCUACCCAUAAGACUGGGAUAACUCCGGGAAACCGGGGCUAAUACCGGAUAAUAUUUUGAACUGCAUAGUUCGAAAUUGAAAGGCGGCUUCGGCUGUCACUUAUGGAUGGACCCGCGUCGCAUUAGCUAGUUGGUGAGGUAACGGCUCACCAAGGCAACGAUGCGUAGCCGACCUGAGAGGGUGAUCGGCCACACUGGGACUGAGACACGGCCCAGACUCCUACGGGAGGCAGCAGUAGGGAAUCUUCCGCAAUGGACGAAAGUCUGACGGAGCAACGCCGCGUGAGUGAUGAAGGCUUUCGGGUCGUAAAACUCUGUUGUUAGGGAAGAACAAGUGCUAGUUGAAUAAGCUGGCACCUUGACGGUACCUAACCAGAAAGCCACGGCUAACUACGUGCCAGCAGCCGCGGUAAUACGUAGGUGGCAAGCGUUAUCCGGAAUUAUUGGGCGUAAAGCGCGCGCAGGUGGUUUCUUAAGUCUGAUGUGAAAGCCCACGGCUCAACCGUGGAGGGUCAUUGGAAACUGGGAGACUUGAGUGCAGAAGAGGAAAGUGGAAUUCCAUGUGUAGCGGUGAAAUGCGUAGAGAUAUGGAGGA